This 497-nucleotide ribosomal RNA is filed under the name uncultured bacterium. Its description in RNAcentral is "partial 16S ribosomal RNA". It matches the Rfam family "Bacterial small subunit ribosomal RNA", at positions 28 to 507 of the family's 1533-position model. The record is from RNAcentral.
GACGAACGCUGGCGGCGUGCCUAAUACAUGCAAGUAGAACGCUGAAGAGAGGAGCUUCCUCUUCUUGGAUGAGUUGCGAACGGGUGAGUAACGCGUAGGUAACCUGCCUUGUAGCGGGGGAUAACUAUUGGAAACGAUAGCUAAUACCGCAUAACAAUGGAUGACACAUGUCAUUUAUUUGAAAGGGGCAAUUGCUCCACUACAAGAUGGACCUGCGUUGUAUUAGCUAGUAGGUGAGGUAAUGGCUCACCUAGGCGACGAUACAUAGCCGACCUGAGAGGGUGAUCGGCCACACUGGGACUGAGACACGGCCCAGACUCCUACGGGAGGCAGCAGUAGGGAAUCUUCGGCAAUGGGGGCAACCCUGACCGAGCAACGCCGCGUGAGUGAAGAAGGUUUUCGGAUCGUAAAGCUCUGUUGUAAGUCAAGAACAGGUGUGAGAGUGGAAAGUUCACACUGUGACGGUAGCUGACCAGAAAGGGACGGCUAACUACGUG